GCCUAGCCCUAAAUCUUGAUACUUCCCCCACUAAAGUAUCCGCCUGAGAACUACGAGCACAAACGCUUAAAACUCUAAGGACUUGGCGGUGCUCCAAACCCACCUAGAGGAGCCUGUCCUAUAAUCGAUAAUCCACGAUGCACCCAACCACUCCUUGCCAAUGCAGCCUACAUACCGCCGUCGCCAGCCCACCUCCCCUGAGAGAGCCAUAGUGAGCAUAAUAGCCUACCACGCUAGCAAGACAGGUCAAGGUAUAGCCUAUGAAGUGGAAGAGAUGGGCUACAUUUUCUAAAUUAGAAAACCCCACGAAAGAGGGCAUGAAACUGCCCCCGGAAGGCGGAUUUAGCAGUAAAGAGGGACAAUAGAGCCCCCUUUAAGCUGGCUCUGGAGCACGU
RNAcentral lists this ribosomal RNA (395 nucleotides) under Pelecanus thagus. Its description in RNAcentral is "partial 12S ribosomal RNA". It matches the Rfam family "Bacterial small subunit ribosomal RNA", at positions 794 to 1384 of the family's 1533-position model. The record is from RNAcentral. Lineage: Eukaryota; Metazoa; Chordata; Aves; Pelecaniformes; Pelecanidae.